GGCUUCCAGGAGGGCGCAUGUGCGGAUGACUGGCCGCAGGCGGCCGGGCGGGCUGUAACCCGCCGCUGAACUAGCGCUUCUGUGUCCAGAGGCUUCGGCCUGGCCGCCGUCGCCUGUAAGCUACGAGGAGGAGAUUUACGACUUGGCCGGGCGCAGCAAAGGCCAGACUCUGCGCGAACAGGCGCUGCGCACCAACCGGCAGGCACCUGGCGGGCACCAUCGCACGGUGGCGCAGAAGCCCCUCAAUGGCCAGCGCCAGCUGCAGCCGCGGCCGCGCAGUCGUCCCACCUGAGCUUGGGCGAAUGUGGAUUGGGAAAGUCGACAUUAAUCAACUCAUUAUUCCUCAUAGAUUUGUAUUCUCCAGAGUAUCCAGGUCCUUCUCACAGAAUUAAAAAGACUGUACAGGUAUGGAUAUUAGUAUUGUUAAUUGAUGAUAAGCUGGA
This 443-nucleotide long non-coding RNA is filed under the name Homo sapiens (human). RNAcentral describes it as "non-protein coding lnc-OR4C12-9:4". The record is from RNAcentral. Lineage: Eukaryota; Metazoa; Chordata; Mammalia; Primates; Hominidae.